RNA transcript from Juglans regia (Persian walnut), 2331 nucleotides. It is a transcript of the gene named DEAD-box ATP-dependent RNA helicase 35, with no coding region annotated. Lineage: Eukaryota; Viridiplantae; Streptophyta; Magnoliopsida; Fagales; Juglandaceae. The transcript is spliced from 4 exons. The record is from RefSeq and is a predicted model, not a curated record.
CCCCAGGCGACGGCUCCCCCCACCCCCGCACGGCCUCUCUGUCAAAACCCCACUGGCGACCUCACGACCUCUCUCUCAGAGUCCCAACGCACGGUCUCUCUCUCUCUAUUCUGGCGCUGAAUAUUCUGUAAUUCCUUGAGAAUAGUUGGUGCUAGAAGAACUGAAAACAUGGAAGAAGCAGAUGAUUAUGUUGAAUACGUUCCCGUGGCAAAGCGUAGAGCCAUGGAAGCACUGAAGAUUCUUCAGCGAAAGGGCACAUCCUCUGCGCUUGAAGAAGAGUUGGAGAAAGCAAAACUUGCCGAGGCCAAACCAAGCCUUCUUGUAAAAGCAUCCCAGCUGAAGCGAGACCAACCCGAGAUAAGUCCAACCCAGCAGAUUGUGCAACAAGAAAAGGAAAUGAUUGAGCACUUAUCAGACCGGAAAACGUUAAUGUCUGUUCGUGAACUGGCAAAAGGGAUUACUUAUACGGAGCCUCUGUUGACGGGAUGGAAGCCACCAUUGCCAAUCAGAAGGAUGUCAAAAAAGGAAUGUGAUGCAAUUCGGAAGCAGUGGCACAUAAUAGUUGAUGGGGAAGACAUUCUCCCUCCAAUUAAGGAUUUUAAGGAUAUGAGGUUUCCGGAACCAAUUUUGAAGAUGCUAAAGGCAAAGGGAAUUGUACGACCAACUCCUAUUCAGGUGCAAGGUCUUCCUGUGAUUUUAUCUGGGAGGGACAUGAUUGGGAUUGCGUUUACAGGCUCAGGCAAGACAUUGGUCUUUGUGCUGCCAAUGAUAAUGGUGGCGCUGCAGGAGGAGAUUAUGAUGCCUAUCGUUCCAGGAGAGGGGCCAUUUGGUUUGAUUAUAUGCCCAUCAAGAGAGCUCGCACGGCAGACUUUUGAUGUAGUGGAAGAGUUCUUGACUCCCAUGAGGGAGGCUGGUUAUCCAGAACUGAGGCCUUUGCUCUGUAUAGGAGGAGUGGAUAUGAGAUCGCAGUUAGAUGUUGUGAAGAAGGGUGUUCAUAUUGUGGUUGCUACUCCUGGGAGGCUGAAGGAUAUGUUGGCAAAGAAAAAAAUGAAUCUUGACAAUUGCAGGUAUCUUACUUUAGAUGAGGCAGAUAGAUUGGUGGAUUUGGGCUUUGAAGAUGAUAUAAGAGAAGUUUUUGACCACUUUAAAGCUCAACGGCAAACUCUCUUAUUUUCUGCCACCAUGCCUACCAAGAUUCAGAACUUUGCCAGAAGUGCUCUAGUAAAACCUGUGACAGUAAAUGUGGGAAGAGCUGGAGCAGCGAAUCUCGAUGUGAUUCAGGAGGUUGAGUAUGUAAAGCAAGAGGCCAAGAUUGUUUACCUUCUUGAAUGUCUGCAGAAAACCCCGCCACCUGUUUUAAUUUUCUGUGAGAACAAGGCUGAUGUGGAUGACAUUCAUGAAUACCUCCUCUUGAAAGGAGUCGAAGCUGUAGCCAUCCAUGGAGGCAAGGACCAGGAAGAGAGAGAGUAUGCCAUUUCAUCCUUUAAGGCAGGAAAGAAAGAUGUCUUGGUUGCUACUGAUGUUGCCUCAAAGGGGUUGGAUUUUCCUGACAUUCAACACGUCAUUAAUUAUGACAUGCCUGCAGAGAUCGAAAACUAUGUUCACAGGAUUGGACGAACUGGAAGAUGUGGCAAGACAGGGAUAGCUACAACAUUUAUAAACAAGAAUCAGAGUGAGACAACGCUUCUUGAUUUGAAACACCUCUUGCAAGAAGCAAAACAGAGAAUUCCACCUGUGUUGGCUGAGCUAAAUGAUCCGAUGGAAGAUGUAGAAGCAAUUGCCAAUGCAAGUGGGGUUAAGGGCUGUGCAUAUUGUGGUGGGCUUGGUCACCGUAUUCGGGACUGCCCGAAAUUUGAACAUCAAAAAAGCAUGGCUAUUUCCAGCUCCAGAAGGGACUACUUUGGAUCUGGUGGUUACCGAGGGGAGAUAUGAUAUUGACCGAGCUUAUAUUUGUAGAGACGUUCUUCACAUGGUCUAAAAUAUGGGCGGCCAACUACUGUGGAGCUAGGUUUGGGUUGAAUGAAUUUGUCAAGACUCAUUCUAUAUGAUUAUGAAAAGGUUGAGAUAAUGCCAAGCGAAGAAAGAACGAAAAUAAACACUGGAGGGUUCUUCAGAAUCUUCACCCUCGCCUCCAAUGAGGAGAAUUACCCAUUCGGUAAAAUCUCAUGGUGAGAUGAUAUAUAGGGUUCAUUUCUGAACAUAGUAUUACAUAUUUCAUUUGAAUACAAAUUACAGUGUAAUUCUAGAUGGAUGUGCAUAUGGCACUAGAAAGUUGACGCUUUAAUCUUUGGUACAUAUUCUUAUGAGAAACAGUAAAUCAUCGUACUGAAA